AGAACGAACGCUGGCGGCAGGCCUCAAACAUGCAAGUCUAGGGGGGUAGCAAUACCACCGGCGGACGGGUGCGUAACGCGUGGGAACAUACCUUUCGGUACGGAACAACCCAGGGAAACUUGGGCUAAUACCGUAUACGCCCUUACGGGGAAAGAUUUAUCGCCGAAGGAUUGGCCCGCGUUCGAUUAGCUAGUUGGUGAGGUAACGGCUCACCAAGGCUACGAUCGAUAGCUGUUCUGAGAGGAAGAUCAGCCACACUGGGACUGAGACACGGCCCAGACUCCUACGGGAGGCAGCAGUUGGGAAUCUUGGACAAUGGGGGAAACCCUGAUCCAGCCAUGCCGCGUGAGUGAUGAAGGCCUUCGGGUUGUAAAACUCUUUCGACGGGGACGAUAAUGACGGUACCCGUAGAAGAAGCUCCGGCUAACUUCGUGCCAGCAGCCGC
Molecule: ribosomal RNA, 445 nt
Filed under: uncultured bacterium
Lineage: Bacteria
Description: SSU rRNA
Rfam family: Bacterial small subunit ribosomal RNA
Source: RNAcentral